AAUUCCUGGGUAAUGGGUCGAGCAAUCAAGACAAUGCCAGAUGCCAAAGGUGCAGUCAGAAGAGUUUGUGUGCAAACCAAAACCAGCACACUGGACAGACCCGUGAACAAACUGUGCCUGCUUCAAGAAACAGCCAAUGUUUGUUUGCAGUGUUAUUGCUAGUGAUUUGAAAACAAUAGUUAAUAUAAAAGUAAUUGGCUCAUAUUGAAGUAAAGUA
Molecule: long non-coding RNA, 217 nt
Organism: Erpetoichthys calabaricus (reedfish)
Lineage: Eukaryota; Metazoa; Chordata; Cladistia; Polypteriformes; Polypteridae
Exons: 2
Source: RefSeq, a predicted model, not a curated record